AUUCUGAGUUUAUGGAAAUCAAGAACCCACUUUCUCUUCCCAAGCAAUGGUUGAUUUGAGAUUUCUGUAAGAUAGGGUUUUAUCUUAAUUUUCAGUUGGCGAUUCAAAAUGUUGAUUCCAAAUUAUAAUAAUGUGUGGAGAUUUUUGAGAUUAUUAUUGUUAUAUAUGGAGUGGUAAUUCGUGUCAGAAAAAUGGUUGAUAUUAAUAAAGAAGGGGGAGAUUUGGGAAUGUGGCAAUGGGGGGCGGAAAGCCUCGUGGCUGGUGAUAACAUCAAACUCUUUAACGAUGAGGUCAUCAGGAAUGUAAAGAGUUUAGAGGAAAUAAAGAAGGGUGAUUGAGGCGACGCCCUGCCAUCUGGGAUUGCUUGUUUUCCCCUCUGUUAAGGCACGGAAGUUGCGGGGGAGGGGAGGGGAUUGCUGGUUAGAACUGUUAACAUUUAUUGUUUAGUGUGGUUUCAAGUGUUAAUGAAACCCGGGAAAAGCAAUCACGUUUUGUUGCUUUCGGGAACCUUGUGGUGGGCACAGCGUGUGCAGAAGAAGAGGGAGACAGUCGAAGCCGCUCUUGCAGUCUGGAACAAAAGCCAGAGGAAACUGAACUUUGUCCUUGUUUCUAAAUAUACUGACUCCUGGACAGAUUGAAACAAACUGGUGUGAUUAUAGUCCCUGUCUUGGCAACUGCAUUUGAUGCAAUCCUGCUGCCACACAAAUUUAUUAUGGAAUGGGAAGAGAGCAGUGGAGAAAAGGUGUGUGUUUAUAAAGGCACCUGAAAAACAAAACUUUUGAGAAGCUGAAACCUGCUGGGGAAAUAAAUGGGCCACUUGCAGAGUCAUACAUUUGGACAAAAGAUGGUGUUUUCAAAGAUAGCUAUGGGCAUUAGGGUUAUACUUCAAAGGCUAUGGUUAACAUUUGCAUUUGUAUAAACCAAAGCAGUGCUGAGCAGAUGUCUCCCACCCUGAUUCUUCAAAUGCACCGCCGCAGCCCGGGUUGUCCUGUUAUCCUGUGAUCUGCUGCUUAGUCCUGUGUCUUUCUGUGAUCCUGUGCUGGUAUCUGGCUGUAUACUGCUGCCCCUGCAUACGUGAGCACUUCUUACUGACCAGGUCCCAGUGGCCCUGGGGCUUCUCCAUCACAAAGCUUUCGGAGCAGGGCAAUAGUUAUUUUGAUAUAGGGCUCUUCAGAAAUGAAACAUUUUUUCUUGGUUGGCUUGUUUGGAAGAGAGCAUGGAGAAGAAAAAAAUGAUGUGAAGCAGCAAGUAGAGCUAAGACUGUUUUUGUUUCAUGGGAUCUUGUUAUUUAAUAAAAUGGAUGAGCUUUCUAGGAAGCUCUAGAGACAA
This is a non-coding RNA of Anas platyrhynchos (mallard), 1329 nucleotides long. Lineage: Eukaryota; Metazoa; Chordata; Aves; Anseriformes; Anatidae. The record is from RefSeq and is a predicted model, not a curated record.